UGCCAGCCGCCGCGGUAAUACGGAGGGUGCAAGCGUUAAUCGGAAUUACUGGGCGUAAAGAGUACGUAGGCGGAUUAGAAAGUUAGGGGUGAAAUCCCGAGGCUCAACCUCGGAACUGCCUCUAAAACUCCUAGUCUUGAGUUCGAGAGAGGUGAGUGGAAUUCCGAGUGUAGAGGUGAAAUUCGUAGAUAUUCGGAGGAACACCAGUGGCGAAGGCGGCUCACUGGCUCGAUACUGACGCUGAGGUACGAAAGCGUGGGGAGCAAACAGGAUUAGAUA
RNAcentral lists this ribosomal RNA (279 nucleotides) under uncultured bacterium. RNAcentral's name for it is "partial 16S ribosomal RNA". It matches the Rfam family "Bacterial small subunit ribosomal RNA", at positions 506 to 784 of the family's 1533-position model. The record is from RNAcentral.